UAGAUGCGAGAGUAGAGCAUAUCAAUAAGCGGAGGAAAAGAAACUAACUAGGAUUCCCUUAGUAACGGCGAGUGAAGCGGGAAGAGCUCAAAUUUGAAAUCUUCAAGGUUCUACCUUGACGAAUUGUAGUUUAAGGAAGUGUUUUCUGUUAGAUGAGUAGCAAAAGUUCCUUGGAAUGGGACAUCAUAGAGGGUGAGAAUCCCGUAUUUGGUUAUUCAUUCUAGCUUUGUGAUACACUUUCAAAGAGUCGGAUUGUUUGGGAAUGCAGUCCAAAAUGGGUGGUAAAUUUCAUCUAAAGCUAAAUAUUGGCGAGAGACCGAUAGCGAACAAGUACCGUGAGGGAAAGAUGAAAAGAACUUUGAAAAGAGAGUUAAACAGUACGUGAAAUUGUCAAAAGGGAAGCGUUUGACACCAGUGUUGUUUUUCUCGAAAAUCAAUUAACAAAUGGCUUGGAUUUUGUGUUGUAUUGACCUUAUCAGCUUUCUUCACUUUUUUUCGAGUCUUUCUUAAUGCACUUUUCGGUUAACAAGUCAACAUCAAUUUCUUUUGUUGUAAAAGAGUAUUCGGAAGGUGGCUUUCUUUUCGGAGAAAGUGUUUAUAGCCCUAUACUUCUACAAUCGGAGAGAUUGAGGUCUGCAGCGUAGAUCCUUCGGGGUUAGAUACACUUGUGCUAAGUUGUAGCUUUUCAUAGACAACUUGUUGACUAUGUUUAGUCAUGCGGCUUACUCGCUUGUGCUAUUUUACCUACGCUUAGGAUGUUGAGCGCAUGUCUCUCUCU
RNAcentral lists this ribosomal RNA (778 nucleotides) under uncultured Neocallimastigales. Its description in RNAcentral is "partial large subunit ribosomal RNA". It matches the Rfam family "Eukaryotic large subunit ribosomal RNA", at positions 22 to 616 of the family's 3401-position model. The record is from RNAcentral. Lineage: Eukaryota; Fungi; Neocallimastigomycota; Neocallimastigomycetes; Neocallimastigales.